GGUGCAUUAGCUAGUUGGUAAGGUAACGGCUUACCAAGGCAAUGAUGCAUAGCCGAGUUGAGAGACUGAUCGGCCACAUUGGGACUGAGACACGGCCCAAACUCCUACGGGAGGCAGCAGUAGGGAAUCUUCCACAAUGGACGAAAGUCUGAUGGAGCAACGCCGCGUGAGUGAAGAAGGGUUUCGGCUCGUAAAGCUCUGUUGGUAGUGAAGAAAGAUAGAGGUAGUAACUGGCCUUUAUUUGACGGUAAUUACUUAGAAAGUCACGGCUAACUACGUGCCAGCAGCCGCGGUAAUACGUAGGUGGCAAGCGUUGUCCGGAUUUAUUGGGCGUAAAGCGAGUGCAGGCGGUUCAAUAAGUCUGAUGUGAAAGCCUUCGGCUCAACCGGAGAAUUGCAUCAGAAACUGUUGAACUUGAGUGCAGAAGAGGAGAGUGGAACUCCAUGUGUAGCGGUGGAAUGCGUAGAUAUAUGGAAGAACACCAGUGGCGAAGGCGGCUCUCUGGUCUGCAACUGACGCUGAGGCUCGAAAGCAUGGGUAGCGAACAGGAUUAGAUACCCUGGUAGUCCA
RNAcentral lists this ribosomal RNA (570 nucleotides) under uncultured bacterium. RNAcentral's name for it is "bacterial SSU rRNA". It matches the Rfam family "Bacterial small subunit ribosomal RNA", at positions 235 to 797 of the family's 1533-position model. The record is from RNAcentral.